Molecule: ribosomal RNA, 389 nt
Filed under: bacterium st8
Lineage: Bacteria
Description: bacterial SSU rRNA
Rfam family: Bacterial small subunit ribosomal RNA
Source: RNAcentral
CGGCGUGCUUAACACAUGCAAGUCGAACGGUGAAGCCCAGCUUGCUGGGUGGAUCAGUGGCGAACGGGUGAGUAACACGUGAGCAACCUGCCCCUGACUCUGGGAUAAGCGCUGGAAACGGCGUCUAAUACUGGAUACGAGACGUGAUCGCAUGGUCGACGUCUGGAAAGAUUUUUUGGUUGGGGAUGGGCUCGCGGCCUAUCAGCUUGUUGGUGAGGUAAUGGCUCACCAAGGCGUCGACGGGUAGCCGGCCUGAGAGGGUGACCGGCCACACUGGGACUGAGACACGGCCCAGACUCCUACGGGAGGCAGCAGUGGGGAAUAUUGCACAAUGGGCGCAAGCCUGAUGCAGCAACGCCCGUGAGGGAUGACGGCCUUCGGGUUGUAAA